Molecule: non-coding RNA, 202 nt
Organism: Odocoileus virginianus texanus
Lineage: Eukaryota; Metazoa; Chordata; Mammalia; Artiodactyla; Cervidae
Source: RefSeq, a predicted model, not a curated record
CUGACCCAGGGAUCAAACCCAAGUCUCCAGCAUUUCAGGAAGUGAGGUCUACAUCUUUGAUAACCACUUUCCCCCCAUAAGGGAAGGGCUCAGAUGUUUCAGAGACAAGUAAGUCAAGUCUAAGGAUCAACAGAGCACUUCAGAAGACUAGAGGAAGAAAAAGGCUCCACCAGGAUUCUCCAGGAAAGAAUAUUGGAAUGGG